Molecule: long non-coding RNA, 644 nt
Filed under: Mytilus galloprovincialis (Mediterranean mussel)
Lineage: Eukaryota; Metazoa; Mollusca; Bivalvia; Mytilida; Mytilidae
Source: RNAcentral
AACAAGUGAAACUGCGAGCUACUGCUCACUGAUGAUACCCCCGCCGCAAGUGGAUAAUAUUAAUAGUGUAAAAAUAUGCAAGUGUUCGGUAAACAGGAAGUUGUCGAGUGAUGAAUCUGAAAACGCAUCACACGGUAUAGGGAUAAUAUUAAUAGUGUAAAAAUAUGCAAGUGUUCGGUAAACAGGAAGUUGUCGAGUGAUGAAUCUGAAAACGCAUCACACGGUAUAGCUGACUUAUAAAAAUCCUGAAACCAAAUUUCAGAAAUCCUUGUAUUGUAGUUCCUGAGAAAAAUGUGACGAAAAUUUUUAACUUGGUUAUCAUGUGUAAAAUCAUACAAGUGUUCGGUAAACAGGAAGUUGUCGAGUGAUGAAUCUGAAAACGCAUCACACGGUAUAGCUGACUUAUAUAAAUCCUGAAACCAAAUUUCAGAAAUCCUUGUAUUGUAGUUCCUGAGAAAAAUGUGACGAAAAUUUUCAACUUGGCUAUCAUGUGUAAAAUCAUACAAGUGUUCGGUAAACAGGAAGUUGUCAAGUGAUGAAUCUGAAAACGCAUCACACGGUAUAGCUGACUGAUAUAAAUCCUGAAACCAAAUUUCAGAAAUCCUUGUAUUGUAGUUCCUGAGAUAAAAUCAUACAAGUGUUCG